CACACCUCCACCUACAUCCACACCUCCACCUACAUCCACACCUCCUCCUCUUUCUACUUCUCUUCUUCCAUCAUUCUCUCCUCCAGUUCUAUUUGCGUUGUCAUUUGUUGGAUCAGUCUGUAUUGUGACUUUACUGGUGGUACUGGUUCUGCUGGUGAGACGACUUGUUAACAGGAAACUUAAAGGUCACUGACAGGAAGGCAGAGAUAAGGAGACAGGACCUGCUAUUACAAGACAAAGAUCAACACAACAUUACCAGAGGCGUAACAUCACAAAGUGUUCUGGUUAUUGUAGGGACCACAGACCUGUUUUGAUGAUUGUGGGCCAUAGAUUGCAGAAGCUGCAUGCUUGCACUACCCAAAUGGCCUACUUUUAAUCCUUUGGGGGGCGGGGGGUUCAGCUCUGUCUUCAGUUUCAAAACAAGACAUUUCUGUAUGAAAAAAACUGUUCGGUUCUUGUAUCCUGUCUUAUUUGUACCUGGGGUAAGGUGCCUGCAUCAUCUGCACAGUUAGGUCCUCCCUAAAGCAGCUGUUUCACUGCUAGUUGCUGAUAUAAGAAAUUUAGUUUUUCAUUAUGUCCAAUUUAAAUUUGAAUACUGGAGACAAAAGAAGGGGAUCAAAUAAUUUUGCAUCAUAAUCAAAAUAUUAACAGCAGUACUUAAAUGACUGCACUGUCUGCAGUGAUGUCCUCUGUGUGUGUUUUAUUGUGCAGAGACUGAACCUGCUGCAGUCUACUCAGCAGUGAGAACUGAAGACGUCAGUUAUGGACAAAUUAUCAUCAUAGAGAAGAAAAGAAAAUCAAAGAAAAGAGAGUGUGAUCCAGCUGCAGUCUACUCAUUAGAGCAAACUGGAGACGUCAGUUAUGAACAAAUCACCAUCAAAGACAAGGAAAACAGAUCAAAGAGCAGAGAGUCGUCGCCUACUCCUCGCUGAAGUAAUCUACAAGUCCAACCACUGGAAUCCAGCUGCUGUUCCACGUGACCUUCAUUACAAAUAAGAUCUGUAUAUAUUGUCUUUAAUCUUUUCAAUACAUUCAAGUCAACACCUACUGAGGGACCAAAAACUCAAAGAGAAAUUAAUUUUUUGGGUAAAAUAAAAGCUCAACUUCUUUAACGACUUUAAAGAAACAAAUACAUAUAUAUAUUUUCAUCACCCUGUCCUUCAGUGUCUCAGUAUGGCCAUAACAGCUACAUGUAUUUCUAUAAUACAUGUUAUAUGAACAAUAAAUAACAAUACUAUCUAAUAUAUAAUGUAUAAUGUCUAAUAUAUACAUGUAAAGUAAUGUAUUUAGUAUACUCAGUAACCCUGCUGUUGUCUCCACUGCAGUGAUCUGUAUUCUCUGCAGGACUCUGGUUGGACUUGUUGUUCUUCUCGUGUGGUUCUGUGGGUUUCAUGAAGAUGUCUGAUGGAAAAUGUGAACCGUUGUUGCUAACCCAUGCACACGUGUCUCUUCAGUGCAGAUAAACAAAAGCUUAAGAACAAAGUGUGGCUGUGGUUAAUGAGUUUUGAUUUAAGGAAAUGAAUUAUGUGAGACUUUAGAUGCUGUUUAAACUAAAGACUUCUCCAUCAGUAGAUAAGAGUGUGCAUGUGCAUCUUAGUUACAGUGUUGUUGAUAUCUGCGGUUGUCCUUGCACAGGGCAGUGAGGACAUAUGUGCUGUCUAUCCUCACUCAGUCUGAUAUGAUCUCACUUUCCAUUCAGUCAAAAUCGGGGUCAGAUUAUGCUGCAAAAGCAAAUGCUCAGAGAAAGACUGAUAUACUAAGUGCUAUGCUCAAGUUGAGUUACCAGAAUCCCCAGGAUCUUUCCAGUCACUUUAAUUAUAUGCAUAAUUAGUCAAUUCAUAGCUAACUAUAAGUAAUUGCAUUCCAGCAGCAUCCACAGACAAUAAAAAGCACUGACCACAGCUUAAAGCACAGGCUGGUGCUGCCAUCUAGUGACACUGAAGAGCUCCAACCACUGCUUUUAGGAUCAUUCUGGGUAACUUUAACUGCUGCAUGUAACUGUGAUUUCUUCUAUCUGUUUACAAAACCUAUAGCACACAGGGAACACAGAAAGACACAUCUAUACUACAAUCAUUAUAGUAUAAAGUUUGGACAUUAUAGUGUGACUCAUCAUUUUAAUCUGACAUUUCAUUUUUUGCUCAACUGCACUGUGAAAAGCACAGAUGUAUACAGUAUUUGUAUAAGUUAUAUAGAUGCUGCCACUCACAGUGACCUAUGUAAUGUUUAUGCGAAGUUUCAUCAAGCUCAGCACAUUCAC
This is a long non-coding RNA of Oreochromis niloticus (Nile tilapia), 2257 nucleotides long. RefSeq lists it as uncharacterized. The record is from RefSeq and is a predicted model, not a curated record. NCBI's taxonomy places the organism in Eukaryota, Metazoa, Chordata, Actinopteri, Cichliformes, Cichlidae. The transcript is spliced from 4 exons.